Molecule: ribosomal RNA, 526 nt
Filed under: uncultured bacterium
Lineage: Bacteria
Description: bacterial SSU rRNA
Rfam family: Bacterial small subunit ribosomal RNA
Source: RNAcentral
CAAGGAAUCUUGCGCAAUGGGCGAAAGCCUGACGCAGCGACGCCGCGUGAGGGAAGAAGGACUUCGGUUCGUAAACCUCUUUUCUCAGGGAAGAAUAAUGACGGUACCUGUGGAAUAAGUCACGGCUAACUACGUGCCAGCAGCCGCGGUAAUACGUAGGUGGCAAGCGUUAUCCGGAUUCAUUGGGCGUAAAGCGGGAGUAGGUGGCUUUUCAAGUCGGAUGUGAAAUUUCCCGGCUUAACUGGGAAGGGUCAUCCGAUACUGUUAGGCUAGAGGGCAGCAGAGGGAGAUGGAAUUCCUAGUGUAGGAGUGAAAUGCGUAGAUAUCGGGAGGAACACCUGUGGCGAAAGCGAUCUCCUGGGCUGUUCCUGACACUGAGGCCCCAAAGCGUGGGGAGCAAACAGGAUUAGAUACCCUGGUAGUCCACGCCCUAAACUAUGGACACUAGGUAUGGGGGGUAUCGACCCUCUCCGUGCCGAAGCCAACGCAUUAAGUGUCCCGCCUGGGAAGUACGGUCGCAAGACUA